Molecule: transfer RNA, 87 nt
Filed under: Candidatus Beckwithbacteria bacterium
Lineage: Bacteria; Candidatus Beckwithiibacteriota
Description: tRNA-Ser
Rfam family: tRNA
About the family: Transfer RNA (tRNA) molecules are approximately 80 nucleotides in length. Their secondary structure includes four short double-helical elements and three loops (D, anti-codon, and T loops).
Source: RNAcentral
GGAGAGGUGGCCGAGUGGUCCAAGGCAAGAGUUUGCUAAACUCUGCCCCCGUAAGGGGGCUCGUGGGUUCAAAUCCCACCCUCUCCG